UGUACCUACGGGGGGCAGCAGUGAGGAAUAUUGGUCAAUGGACGAGAGUCUGAACCAGCCGAGUAGCGUGAAGGAUGACUGCCCUAUGGGUUGUAAACUUCUUUUAUAUGGGAAUAAAAUGUUCCACGUGUGGGACUUUGUAUGUACCAUAUGAAUAAGGAUCGGCUAACUCCGUGCCAGCAGCCGCGGUAAUACGGAGGAUGCGAGCGUUAUCCGGAUUUAUUGGGUUUAAAGGGUGCGUAGGCGGAAUGCCAAGUCAGCGGUAAAAUCGCGGGGCUCAACCUCGCUCCGCCGUUGAAACUGGG
This 305-nucleotide ribosomal RNA is filed under the name uncultured bacterium. Its description in RNAcentral is "bacterial SSU rRNA". It matches the Rfam family "Bacterial small subunit ribosomal RNA", at positions 334 to 637 of the family's 1533-position model. The record is from RNAcentral.